AAAUGCCGAAUGCUGAAUAAAUGGCAGAAU
RNAcentral lists this non-coding RNA (30 nucleotides) under Homo sapiens (human). The record is from RNAcentral. Lineage: Eukaryota; Metazoa; Chordata; Mammalia; Primates; Hominidae.